UACGUAGGGGGCUAGCGUUGUCCGGAAUCAUUGGGCGUAAAGAGCGUGUAGGCGGCCCGGUAAGUCCGCUGUGAAAGUCGGGGCUCAACCCUCGAAUGCCGGUGGAUACUGUCGGGCUAGAGUCCGGAAGAGGAGAGUGGAAUUCCUGGUGUAGCGGUGAAAUGCGCAGAUAUCAGGAAGAACACCUAUGGCGAAGGCAGCUCUCUGGGACGGUACUGACACUGAGGAGCGAAAGCGUGGGGAGCGAACAGG
RNAcentral lists this ribosomal RNA (252 nucleotides) under uncultured bacterium. RNAcentral describes it as "partial 16S ribosomal RNA". It matches the Rfam family "Bacterial small subunit ribosomal RNA", at positions 524 to 776 of the family's 1533-position model. The record is from RNAcentral.